Molecule: long non-coding RNA, 3130 nt
Filed under: Homo sapiens (human)
Lineage: Eukaryota; Metazoa; Chordata; Mammalia; Primates; Hominidae
Description: non-protein coding LINC02248:12
Source: RNAcentral
CAUUUUGAAGGGAUAAAAUUCAAGCCAUAAAAAUCAGCAACUUCAUAUAUAUAUUUCCCUAACUUACUUUGUUUUAUUUUCCAGGUCAUUGACUAACAACAUCAACAAUGAAAUGAAUCUGAGAAAACAGGAAAUUGAGAGCAAGAGAAAAAAAAGUUAAUUAUACUGAUUUUGUAUAAGACCCCUUUGAACACAUUUUUAAAAAAUCAAAUAGAAGGUGCCCAGGUCCACUGUGCCUUGUGAAUAUUUGUCUUGUAUAUCCUAGAGAUCUACGCAUUCAUGUGGGAAUUGAAAAGGACCCACAUUUUACUAGAAGCAUCGUUCAUUUUUGCCUCAAAACAAUGCCCACAUGUCAGAAGAACUUUCACAAUUCACAGGAACAGUGACCUAAUUAACCAACCAUAAAAUUGCCAAAUCCCUACUUCUCAUUGUUUAAUAUGCUUAGAAAACCCAUUCAAAUUGUGAAUUAUCAAGUGAGCUUACACUGAUAAAUAGAUCCAAUAUUUAGGAAUUUUUAAAUCUUCCAUUCCUUUUUUUUUUUUGUCUUUUUAAAAAUAGAACAUUAGAAUAUGUCCUCCAGGUUUUAGAGAUGGGGGAGACAUGCUUCCCUUUAUUUCUCAGUAACUCAGCCAAAAAAAAUCUGGAGAGAAUGCAAAGACAGCUACUGGAAACUUUGAAAAGUAGAUGUGAGCCCAUCAGGGAAGAGCUAGAGAAUCUGAAAUCUACUCGAAAAAGUGAGUUUGAUACUUUGUGUUCCUAUCCUAACUCCACACAGCCUGAAACUUGGAAGUGAGCAUGAUGGAGUGGAUACAGUGAGAUGCAGAAGAAAUCCUCCAGUUUGGGCUGGAAGGGAAAAAAGAGACCCCUAAAACUCAGAGACAGUGGAAGAAAUUCCUGGUGUUUUUUUCUUCUCUUUUUCUCUGUUCUUCCACAUAGCAAUUUAGUAUUGACUACAGCAUCUCUGUUACAAUGAUAGCACCGAAAUGUUGUAACCAUAUGGCCUGCAAAGCCAAAAAUACUUAUCUGACCAUCUACAGGAAAAGUUUGCUGAUCUGGAUGAAAUAUUCUGAUACUAAAUAUUCCAUUUUGGAGGCUGAUAUUCCUAAUCUAUUCAUAAGGAUGGCAUAUCUACCCAGUGGGCCUGCUGGGACUCCAGUUACCCGAUGCACAUACAUUGCUUGGUGUCUCACCUCAUCAUUCUAUCUACUGACUAGUUGGCCUUGAAUUUGUUAAUUUAAACAAAUUUGAAGUUUCAAUGUUCUUGCAGCAAACUCUAACAUACAUACUUAAUGAUUAAAGGCAAGACCUCAAGGGCAGAUUGGAAAACUAAGAACAAUGCUAAAAAAAAAAAUGACUUGCAGGGUUUUUACUAAUUUCCAAAAUUAAGUAACAAAUCACUGACUUGAAAAUAUUUUUCACAGCAGCAGUGAUAUCAUCUAUCUAGGUAUGGUUUAAAACACAAAUCUCAAUUUUUCCUUUCCUUUAGCUGAAAUAAUAAAUAAGAUAGAUUUUGCUAUGAUUAGGAAGGAAAGAUAUCAGUGCCUAGAUUAUCCCAUAUAAAGGAGUUCACUCACUUUUAAGAUGCAAUCUAUUUUUGCCUUAAAUGUCUUCUGCAAACAGCCUUGCCACUUCAGUGCUUGUGAGUUGAUGUAUGUGUCAAGAGAACUGAGCCAGGUCCCGGCUGUGCCGCAAAUCAUUCACGUGGUGCAGAUGGACACACGUUCUGUUAGUCAAAUAAGCAUAUUAGAUUCAAUGACUAUGAAACUCUCCUUCCAGGUCAAAUAGCCUGUUAUUUGUGCAUUCCAGUAUGAUCAUUGCCAUUUAUUUAAAGUAUUUCUACCUAUACAGAUAUUAGUUACUAGCGACUCAAGUACACGUUAGAAUUAAUUGUUUAAAAGAGCAAAUAAACCUCUCACCGCAAUGGCAAUUAAAGACACCCAGUCCUGCUGUGUGCUUCCUCCAUUUGCUUCUAGUGGCAGUUUCGUGUGCAUUUUUGGUGAUGAUGCUCCACGGAACAUCUGCAGAUGUGCUGUCAAUUUGGACAGGCUCUGACUACCGAGUGAAUGGGAAGUACUAACGAGAACUGUCUGCUUGGGAACUCCAUGAAGUUCGUGGCUUUUGUGAUUGAAAUAGCAUCAAUAAAAGGUUGACACUGUGGAACAACACAAGCCUGCAUGGACCUGGUUAUCUCUGACCUCGCACCACUCAUGAGACCAUACCUGAGCCCUACUCCACUUUGGCAGAACUGUUGCAUGGCCUCUCUUCAUAUAAUACCUCUCCGUACACCGUACACCGCAGCUCAAAGAAAGGAUAUAUGCUCCCUGUGAAGACUAAUGGAACUGUCCCUCCUGAUCCUCCUACAGACUUCCUCUGGCCUAAUGGGUGCACCAUUGCAUUAUAUCUGCCAUCUAUACACACAUAUACCUUUCAACCCUGCACUCUCUGAGAUGACUGGACUCAUGCCUAAAUAACUGAUGCUGUCCCUAGUGUAAGCCAAUUCUUCCAGGAAGUCUUUUCAAAGAGAGACUGGACGACCUUCUCUCUUUCUCUCUCCAUCCUGCUGCUUGGGAAAGGGAUGUGACAUCUGGAGUCCUGGCAGCCACCCUUGGAUCCUAAACAUUCUGGCUGUGGCUCUAUGACUCCUUUCUCUUCUUGGUUUUGAAUGUGGCUCUCCUAGCUGUACCUGAAGAGAGGCCCAAUCUGGCAGAAGUCCUAGAGAAGGCUAGACACACAAAUCACACUUGGUAGGAGAACGGAGGCUGGUGCUGUGAGAUGUAGGGAGUUCUGUUGCAGAGAGCCUCUACAGUGUUAAGGGGAAGAAGGUAUCCAAGCUGCUCCUCAGAGGUCAACCAAAAGGUGCAAAGAGAGCUUCCAUAUGGGCCCAGAAUGGGCAUGGGCAUGGCCAGUUUGAUAGGUGCAAGUAGGGACCAUGGAAGCUGCCUGACGAGGAGCUGUACGGAAAUAAGAGUAAUUCAGUGAUGGGGUCCAAGCAUCCUGAAUAUAAGCGGUCCAUGUCAAGAAAGAGCCAAAGGGCGUCCUCAGGACAUGGAAGAGGGGCAUUCCAGGCUGGCAGCUGGGGAGGCCCAGAGAGCCCUGGAGAAGAUCUGAAGUCCAUUGCAGAGCUUUCUUU